GGGGGUGACACUGGUUUCGACGGGAUUAUACGUUCUUUGAACUGCGCACCGUGUUCCCGCAGACACGUUAAACGGCGGCAAAAACUGUAACUGGCGAAUCUAAUUACGCCCUAGCUGCUUAAUAAUAUAAGCAGCCGUUCACCAAGUUCUCUCAUAUCGGGACUUGGCUGAGCGCCGACCUAGAUAUGAUUGCUGAAUCAUUUUUUCCGGCUUGAUUUGGUGAAAUUUAACGGGAUAGUUCCGGCAUAAUUUGUCUAUCAAUGCUGCCGAGGAUGAAACUAAUUGAUAUACUAUGUGUGUAGACGUUCAUAGAAAGGUAAUUUCGGACCCGGGUUCGACUCCCGGCACCUCCACUC
RNAcentral lists this transfer-messenger RNA (356 nucleotides) under Ignavibacteria bacterium. It matches the Rfam family "transfer-messenger RNA". From Rfam's summary of the family: Bacterial tmRNA, also known as 10Sa RNA or SsrA, is named for its dual tRNA and mRNA-like properties. Its role is to liberate the mRNA from a stalled ribosome. To accomplish this part of the tmRNA is used as a reading frame that ends in a translation stop signal. The record is from RNAcentral. Lineage: Bacteria; Pseudomonadati; Ignavibacteriota; Ignavibacteria.